This 519-nucleotide unclassified non-coding RNA is filed under the name uncultured Glomus. RNAcentral describes it as "SSU rRNA". It matches the Rfam family "Eukaryotic small subunit ribosomal RNA", at positions 569 to 1092 of the family's 1831-position model. The record is from RNAcentral. Lineage: Eukaryota; Fungi; Glomeromycota; Glomeromycetes; Glomerales; Glomeraceae.
AGCAGCCGCGGUAAUUCCAGCUCCAAUAGCGUAUAUUAAAGUUGUUGCAGUUAAAAAGCUCGUAGUUGAAUUUCGGGAUCAGUUGAUCGGUCGUGCCUCGGUACGUACUGGUCAAAUUGAUUCCUACCUUCUGACGAACCACGAUGUCAUUAAUUUGGUGUCGUGGGAAAUCAGGACUGUUACUUUGAAAAAUUAGAGUGUUUAAAGCAGGCUCGCGCUUGAAUACAUUAGCAUGGAAUAAUGAAAUAGGACGUUUGAUUCUAUUUUGUUGGUUUCUAGGAUCGACGUAAUGAUUAAUAGGGAUAGUUGGGGGCAUUAGUAUUCAAUUGUCAGAGGUGAAAUUCUUGGAUUUAUUGAAGACUAACUACUGCGAAAGCAUUUGCCAAGGAUGUUUUCAUUAAUCAAGAACGAAAGUUAGGGGAUCGAAGACGAUCAGAUACCGUCGUAGUCUUAACCAUAAACUAUGCCGACUAGGGAUCGGAUGAUGUUAAUUUUUAAUGACUCAUUCGGCGCCUUAAC